This 1892-nucleotide long non-coding RNA is filed under the name Carica papaya (papaya). Its description in RNAcentral is "long non-coding RNA (CPAP_LNC009984)". Lineage: Eukaryota; Viridiplantae; Streptophyta; Magnoliopsida; Brassicales; Caricaceae. The record is from RNAcentral.
UUUCAAGCAAACUCAGUUGAAUACUUAUAAUAUGACUAACCAUCAAAUAUCAAUCAACCUAUAAUAACGUUUACGGACAACAUCAGCACCAUAACUGUGGCUAAUACAUUUGACACUUUAAAUGUUCACAUGUCAACUGUAAUGAUCGAGGUAAAAUAGUGCAUUAUGUUAUGCUUUUUAAGUAUAAUACAUAUUUAGUACAUACAAACAGUUUUAAAGUCAAAAUCAGUGUUUGGUUCUGCAUCUCCAGCAACAUGCAAUGAGCUGGUUUUAUAUUUGAAAUACGAAUUCUUCGAUUUCCCUAAUGAAGACAAGUGAACUCACUUGAAAUGUUUACAAUUUGAUAUACUGAAGAAGUAGAUUCUUUUUGUAGCAACAACUUCUCUCACGAAAAAGAAGUCAAUCUAGCUUUCAUCCUAGCAUGGAAAAAUUGUCACUCCACAAGAUAAUAAAACUCAAAAAGUUUCUUUUAAUAAAAAUUAAAUCAAUAACAUUCCAGCAGCUAUAUUUGCAAUUUCAUUGUACUCUCUUUUAGUUGACCCAUCUAAUAAUAAUUGCUUGUUUUUUUUAAGCUAGCCAGAAAAAUUAAUUUCUUACUUAAAAUAACUUACAAACUCAUCUGUGAAGCGAUGAUCAACUGUUUAAAGAACACAAUAUGUUUUAAAAGAGGAUGUAUUGCCAAGAUAUUUUAAACUCUUUUCAUUAUUAGAUCUUGUGAUGACUACCUAUUGUAAGAAACCAACUAUUCGACGACAUAGCUCUAGAUAGGCAAAGCGAGUUCAGAUAACUUUUUUCAAUGUAGACUACUACUCACUGGAUUUAAACAUGGUUUUAUUGCUUCAAUUCUUAUCUCUUUUAGGAGAUCCAAGAUAUACUUUCCUUGAGAUAACAUAUGAUCAUUUUCUUUGUUCUGAGUAACUUGAUAGCAAAUUCAUGUUGCAGUCUCUUUAUAACAAAGGAAAGCAUAACAAUUUCUAUAAUGAGAAUACCAUUCGCAUAUACCAAGACAUAAACUAACACCUUCUGUUAUCGAAAAUGAACAAUGGUGUACCUGUCUUUGACAAUUUAAAGCCAUAGUUAAUUAAAAAGGUAAAUAGUCUUCGAAACUAAGUAUGUGGAGCUUGUUCUAGGCUAUAGAAAGACUUGUUAUGCUUACACACAAAGCUAAAUAGUCUUUAUCAAUAAAAAUUGAGGUUUGGUCGUGUAAAUACUUUUCAAGAUUCUCAUAGAGAAGGGCAUUAGACACAUAUAGCUAUUGAAUGUUCCAUUCUCUUGAGAUUGCAAGUGAGAAGACAAGUCUCAUAGUUGUAAAUUUGACAACGAGACUAAAAAUUUUAUCAUACCCAAUUUUGUUCAAUAAAGAAUAAAUAACACUGAUAGUAAUAAUGAUAACAAAAAGCCAUGAAAACAGUGAGUAAAGAAAUUCAAAAAAAUUUAAUUCCUUGACUAUUUAUGUUAUAACAACUAUUAUUAUUAUUAUAGCAAUUUUAAUUUACUUUAUAUUUUCGCAUUCUUAUGCAAAGUGAUUUGUGCACAAAUUUCAUUCAACCAUAAAAAGAGAAUAAAAAUAAAAAUUACGAUUUUUGACCCAAAAAUAUAUGAGACAACCUAAGAAGACUUUCACUAAUCUUAAGGACAAAUGGUUCUACUACUUUGGCUCCUUUAUUUGGGUCAUAGUAUAUCUAACUUAGAAGACUUUGGAGCGAUUGUAGAUAUACUCAUUGAAAUGUAAAUUUUUUGUACAUGGGAAGUAGCCUCUUGGUGUCGAUAUCUAAUACAUUUCUAUACUUUUAUCUCAAAAAAAAGAUAUCUAUUUGCAAUUUUAAUGUAAAAGGAAAGGAACUAGAGAAGCUGUGAUGGAGAAAAUUACCUGUGACUCAAUGGAAAGUUGC